AAAAUAACAGUCAUCACUCAGAAUGCUAAGGAACCUUAAUCUAAACAGGAAGUGGGAAGGGCGGUGAGAAUAUCCCUGUGUCUUCAUUAAAGUCGUUCCCUUCAUUCGUUAACACAUGGUUAUGCUUUCCAAUGGGAUGAAGUGAAACUCCCAAGUGUGUUUUGUAUUGUUGUUGUUUUUAUAUUUCUCAGCCAUGCCCCAGUCACCUUUUAGGGUUAUUACUAGAUUGACUUCCCCUACAUAAAGUGUCUGCUGAGUGGGAGGAUGGAACAUUCUCAACUCAAUAUUCCAGAGCCUAGAAUUUAAUUGUUUCUGCCACUCCCUGUGUGGCCUUGGGUAAGUCCCUUAGUGUAUCUGUGCCUCCAUUUCCUUUCCAGUCCAGAGAGGGCAAUUUGACUUGAUGAUUUUAAAGGUGCCUUUUACCAAAAUUUUGUGAUUUCUUGAAAAUGAUGUUUGCGAGUCACCCACACCUUUGGGGAUGAGACUAAUAGCAGACACCCUCAGAGAUUGGGAUGUAGAUUACUGAGCUUUCUUAUAUAGGCCAUUGGUUGUCAUUUAUACGCUUCUGAGGUUUUCAGAACAGGAAAAUAGGAGGGGUUAACUCUGCCCGUGAGAAACAUCUUUGGUGAACUAUGAUUUCAGUUGAAAGAUGUGUUUUUGUGAGUGGAGCACCGCAGAAGAACUGAAGACUUGUGUGCUCUGUGUGCUCCCCGCAGAAGGGGCUGCCAUGAUCCUUUCCUCUUAUAACACCAUCCAGUCGGUUUUCUGUUGCUGCUGUUGCUGUUCAGUGCAGAAGCGACAAGUGAGAACACAGAUAAGCUUGAGCACAGAUGAAGAGCUUCCAGAAAAAUACACCCAGCGUCGCAGGCCGUGGCUCAGCCAACUGUCAAAUGAGAAGCGAUCCAACAGGGGCCGUGUGCAACUGUCGAAACGAAAGCCACUGCCUCCUCUCCCACCCUCUGAGGUUGCUGAAGAGAAGAUCCAAGUCAAGGCACUUUAUGAUUUUCUGCCCAGAGAACCUUGUAAUUUAGCCCUAAGGAGAUCAGAAGAAUACCUGAUACUGGAGAAAUACAAUCCUCACUGGUGGAAGGCAAGAGACCGUUUGGGGAAUGAAGGCUUAAUCCCAAGCAACUACGUGACUGAAAACAAAAUAACUAAUUUAGAAAUAUAUGAGUGGUACCAUAGAAACAUUACCAGAAAUCAGGCAGAACGUCUAUUGAGACAAGAGUCUAAAGAAGGUGCAUUUAUUGUCAGAGAUUCAAGACAUUUAGGAUCCUACACAAUUUCUGUAUUUAUAGGAGCUAGAAGAAGUACGGAGGCUACCAUAAAACAUUAUCAGAUAAAAAAGAAUGACUCAGGACAGUGGUACGUGGCUGAAAGACACUUCUUUCAAUCAAUCCCCGAGUUAGUCUGGUAUCACCAGCACAAUGCAGCCGGUCUCAUGACACGUCUCCGAUAUCCAGUUGGGCUGAUGGGCAGUUGUUUACCAGCCACAGCUGGGUUUAGCUACGAAAAGUGGGAGAUAGAUCCGUCUGAGUUGGCUUUUAUAAAGGAGAUUGGAAGUGGUCAGUUUGGAGUGGUCCAUUUAGGUGAAUGGCGGUCGCAUAUCCAGGUAGCUAUCAAGGCCAUCAAUGAAGGCUCCAUGUCUGAAGAGGAUUUUAUUGAAGAGGCCAAAGUGAUGAUGACAUUAUCUCAUUCAAAGCUAGUGCAACUUUAUGGGGUCUGCAUACAGCGGAAGCCCCUUUAUAUUGUGACAGAGUUCAUGGAAAAUGGCUGCCUGCUUAACUAUCUCAGGGAGAGAAAAGGAAAGCUUAGGAAGGAAAUGCUACUGAGCAUAUGCGAAGAUAUAUGUGAAGGAAUGGAAUAUCUGGAGAGAAAUGGCUAUAUUCAUAGGGAUUUGGCAGCAAGAAAUUGUUUGGUCAGUUCAACAUGCAUAGUAAAAAUUUCGGACUUUGGAAUGACGAGGUACGUUUUGGAUGAUGAGUAUAUCAGUUCUUUUGGAGCCAAGUUCCCUAUCAAGUGGUCCCCUCCCGAAGUUUUUCUUUUCAAUAAGUACAGCAGUAAAUCCGAUGUCUGGUCAUUUGGAGUUUUAAUGUGGGAAGUUUUUACAGAAGGAAAAAUGCCUUUUGAAAAUAAGUCAAAUUUGCAAGUCGUGGAAGCUAUUACUGAAGGCUUCAGGUUGUAUCGCCCUCACCUGGCACCAAUGUCCGUAUACGAAGUCAUGUACAGCUGCUGGCAUGAGAAACCCAAAGGCCGCCCUACAUUUGCUGACCUGCUGCAGGCACUCACAGAGAUUGCAGAAACCUGGUGACCUGAAAUGGAAUGCCAACCCAAAGAAUCAUCUUGCAAAACUGUCACUUAUUGUGAAUAUCUUCACCAUAUGGGGACACUUAUGCACUGCGGUGUGUUAAAUGUACAACCUAAAAUACAUAGUAUUUGGGAAGAUUGAAGUGAUUUGGAGUGAUCAAAGGGGAAGAAGAGAGAUGUAAUGAAGAGCAGGGAAGAGGAAAUUGGCAGAAGUAAGAACCUGGAACUGGAGGUAUGAAAGAUAUGGGUUGCCCAUCAUCUGUGGGAUGGACACACACAGACACAGACACACACACACACACACACACAUUUGGUUACUUGUAUCUCUACCUCUUAAAAAGUGUUGGUCUUGUUGAAUGUUUAACAAGAAACUUGACAGAUUUGGCUAAACAAGUUUUGGGGUUAGCAUUGGAGACAGAUGCAUUGCUCGACCCGUAGAAAAACUGAAGAAAGACAGAGGAUGAGAGAAGCAGGGAAACAGCUGGAGGUAGAAUGGUGCUUGAUAGACUGGGGGCACAGGAAUGGCUGCUUUCUUAGGGUGUCCAUGAUGUGACCUCCCCCACUUCCAUUAGCCCUUGUUAUUCAGUAGAGUCUGUUGGGAUCAUGAAUGCUGUGUUUAAGAGGGUUUUAUUACAUGUGUAGAAGUAUACAAGGUGUAUUUUAUAUUUGGUUCUACACAAUACAGAGCAAAGAUCACAUGAAACACGGAAAUCUGGAAGGCAAGAGAAACUCUAAGCACAUAACCCCCCUGAGAAUUUAUCUAAACUUCGAGAAGACUUUGGAUAUAUACAAGGUGUGCAGUUGCUACAUUGAGGAUAAGGCAAAAGCCGAUUUUGAGAGUAAAUAGAACCUCAGCUAACAUACAGGUUACAGAUAUUUAACUUCCCAAUAGCCUGGAUUUCUGGAAAAGGUUACAGAUAUUUAACUUCCUGAUAGCCUGGAUAUCUGGAAAAUUUAAGGAGUUCACAUCUGGGUGACAGUUGCCUUAGCAGAAAAAUCCAAACAUAAAUGGUAUGAGAUGCAGAAGACAUACAAUUAAAGAUACAAUUAAACAAGAAAAUUACAAUUGGGACCAAGGGGAGGCCAUUCCCAGAGCCACAUGUGAAGAGUUUCCCUACUUCAUCUGCAGAGAAGAACUGGAUAUUAACUGGAGAACCUCGUAUAACCCACAGAUACACACUCACAUAUAGCCAGUACAGAUUCACUCCCCAAUGCUCAGUGUAAGAAGUUAACAUUGUUUUUAUUUUUCUUUAUAAAGACUUUUGAAUUUUUAAAAUUUAUUUAUUUGAGAUGGAGUCUCACUCUGUCACCCCAGCUGGAAUGCAGUGGCAUGAUCUUGGAUCACUGCAAAUUCCUUCUCCCAGGUUCAAGCAAUUCUCCUGCUUUAGCCUCAUGUAUAUCUGGGAUUACAGGUACGCACCACCACAGCCGGCUAAUUUUUAUUUUAAUUAAUUAUUUUAAUUUUAAUUUUAUUUUUAGUAGAGACAAGGUUUUGCCAUGUUGGUCAGGCUGGUCUCGAACUCCUAACCUCAAGUGAUCCACCUGCCUUGGCCUCCUGAAGUAGUGGGAUUAAAAGCGCAAGCCUCGGUGCCCAGCCAACAUUGUUUUUCUGAAUCAAAUUUAAUCUGGUCCUGAAACUCUCCCUUGUUAUAGUUGGUGAGAAAUGCCUUUUGUGGGGAGACACUCUGCCUGACUUCCCAAGGAGAGACAAAAGUCCUGGAGGCUUCUGUGCUGCAUCAAAAAAUAGAGCUCAGGGGUGGGGGUGCAGGGAGGGGCAUCCUGGGCCCUGUGAGUUCUAUUGUUCUUUCCCUUUCAGGAUGAGCUGUCGCUGAUCCUCUGCUUCUGUCUGGCAUAGAGAUCCCUGUCAUAGGAGUCCUCCCUGCUGACUGUGGGCUCAGCCCCCAGGGCCUACCCACGGCUCUCUAGGAAGCCAUAUCCCUUAGUGCUCAGCCUCUCACACAUCCUGGGACCAUUUUCUUAUUCUCAGUGCUGUAGAGCUUGGGCCUUGACCCUUAAAACAAAAUUAUUUUGACACUUGGUAAAAUGGUAUGGGAGAUUUCAUUUGAAAGUAUUGCAAAUAGUAGAGAGAGACGAACUCAACUCUGACUACAGCAAAGGCAGCUGGAGUCAGUAGAUAUGAAAUAGUAGGGGGAUCGUCGCUAAACUGGUUUAACAAGAUUCUAACUAAUGGCAGAUCAAGGACUAAGAUAUUAAGGAUGAGGAAUUUGAUCAAAUAUCAAGGGUUGGGGAUUUCUUGCUAAACUGACUUAGCAGGAUUCUUGCUAAAGCCAGGCCAAAGAUGGGCCUGAGAUUAGGCCUUAGUAAGAAGAGGCUCAUAGAAACGUUAACUAAAAUUUGGCCAAAAAGGGAGUCUGUUAUCACUCCUCAUGUUAGUGGCCAGUCUCAGGAAAGCCAGCCUCUCGCCUCCAGAUCAGUGCAUUUCUGUUUCAUAUUUAAGAACCACCCUCCACCCACUCUGGAUGUCACAAAAUGAUAUCCAUAUUGUCUUCACUGGAUCUAAGUCUCAAACACUAUUUUAAUUCUGGGGAACUUAGGUGUUGUAAGAAGCACAAACCUUGUCAAUCACAAUCUUGCCUUUUUUUCCUGGGAUAAGAGUGGGGAAGGAGAUGCCUUAUUACUCCCUGAUGAAGUUCCAAACUUUCAAAAGAAAACAAAAUAUCUUUUUAUCAGUGAGUCACUCUUCCCUUAAAAACAUAUGCAGUUCCUUCACUCAUGUUGUACUUGCGCUCUUUCCUGUGUCUGCCUUGAAUUGUGUUACUAUGAAAACAUCUUCCAGACAGUAGCAUCACUUAGGGUGCAAGUAGGGGCGAUGUGUUUUUAGUUUCCUAAGGACAGGGUGUGUGGUUUGGGCAAGGGGCAGUUUCUCAGCUCCCUUUGGAGAAUCUUCUUCAUUCAGACUCUAGUUUCUCUAGAUCCAAGGGUUCUCAGAUCUCUUAGCAUGGUUCACAUUAUGGGCUGGAUAAGUCUUUGUUGUGAGAGAAUGUGCUGUGCAUUGGAGGAUAUUUAGCACCAUCUUUGGCCUUUACCCAGUAUAUGCUGAUGCCCCUCCCCCAGGAGAAACAACCAGAAAUGUCUCUAGAACAUUGCCAAAUUUAUGUAUAUGUUCAGCUUUUGCAAAUAAUGCUCCUAAGUGCCUAGAACGUUGUCUUUAUGUAAUGUCUCUAGAACAUUGUGUUCUAGAGACAUUUCUGGCUGUUUCUCCUGGGGGAGGCAAAAUCGCCCCUGGUUGAGAACCACCGAUUUAAUUACUAAAGCUUCUUGACCUGGGUUUAAGGAGGUCCAUGGACUUGGAUGGAGAAAAGAAAUUACAUCUUUAUUUUUUAUUUAUCUCUAAUUAAAUGUUAGCAUUUCCCACAAUUCCAAAUGUGAAUUCACAUUUCCCAUGAUACUAAAUGUGAAUUCACAUCUAGAAUUAUGGAAAAAAACACACAAAACUCUAGUACUUUAUAUAAGCAGUUUCUGUGACUUCGUCAAAAUAUGAAAAAGUAGUAUUUUCAUGUCAUGUGGGAGUUGUUUCAACUUUCCCAAUUUACAUUCAUCACUACUUCAAAGUUGUGAUCGCUUCUAGAACUGUCACUACAUCCUGUCAUUUAACACAAUAAAAAGACAUUUUAUGAAAGCACAAAUUUGUUUUUUAAAUAUUUUGAUCACUUUAUGUCAAAAUAAUUGGUUUCCUUUUUAGUUCUAUGUACUCCUAUUUUAUGCAUUUAAAAACAUUAUUCCAGCCGGGCAUGGUGGUACAUGCCUAUAGUCCCAGCUAUUCAGGAAGCUGAGAUAGGAGGAUCACUUGAGCCCAGGAGGUCGAGGCCGCAGUGAACUAUGUUUGUGCCACAGCACUCCAGCUGUGGCAACAGAGCAAGACCUUGUCUCAAAAAAGAAAAAAAAACCACAAAAAUUAUUCCAAGAAGGAGUAUAAAGUCUUCCCUAGACUUCCAAAGAGAUCUGUAGCAUAAAAAAAGAUUCAAAACCCUUCUGUAUCCAACAGGAUUUCUGAAUCUGGAGGGAUGUAUGCUGGGCCACACAUAACCAAUCAGCCACUUACUGUUGGCUAACAAGCAGCCCCAUGAGGAUUUAAUUCUGGCCAGUCGUGCAAGCUGAUUCCCUGAUGUGCAUAUCCAGCCCAGCCUUUUUCACCCCAGAUAUUACUGGGACUGGUCCUUGGCUCUGGUUUGCAUGUCUCCUUUUCCACCCGCCUUGCACCCUCUAUGGUAGUAUCCAAGACAUGAUGAGUGAAGAGCCUCAACUGCUUCCAUGUUUGGCAGCAGAGAGAGAGAAGCUGGCUUCAACCCCUCCCUCCUUCCAGUUGGCCUGGGGUUCAUUUCCAGAUGGGCAUUUCAGCCUCUCUUUUCCUCUGGAGCCACACCCAGUUAGUUGAAGGGAAAUAGAGUGGGUGAAUCAUAUCUCUCUGGAGGCAGGGUGGCUCCAUGCCACUUUCAAAACAAGACAAAACAAAACUCCAAUUUGAACUGGCAUUUUUGGUUCUUACCACCAGGCAGGGGAUGCUACUGGCAUCGAGUGAAUAGAGACCAGUGAUGUUGCUAAACAUCCUACAAAGAACACGUGCCCCACAACAAAGAAUUAUCUGGCUCAAAAUGUCAACAGUGCUAAGGCUAAAAGGGGUAUCAUUAGACCCUGUGACUGUGGAGUUCAGGGGUGCAGACAUUCACCCUGUUAUCAUCCUUCCAGCUCCAUUUCUCAUGUCUCAGGCUACCUCCUCUUCUACCUCUCCCAGAUGAAAAGUGGAUGCUGUGGUCACAUACCUUACCUUGGCAGACUAUACCAUCCAGAGGGAGAGAACAUCUCUGUCCUUGCAUUUCCACCAGAGUCCUGAAAUUCUCUCUAACUGGAUCAGAUCCACACGCCCACUAGGUGUGUGUAGCUAGUGGCAUGGAAUGCUUUGAUUGGUUUGGACUUGGGCAUGUGUUUCCUCAAGAGCCAAGGCUGAAAUCCAUUUACCUUGAAAAUGGAAACUGAGAGCCAUUCAGAGGGUCUGGAAAGGGGAGUGAUAGAUGCUGGAAUGAUAGUCAGCAAAUACCAAAUGUUCAUCUUUUCCCAAUUCCCCUCUUGCUUUCUGGCCAUUUUGCAUGUAAUCUGCCAUCUUCUCUUUCUUUUCUUUUUUCUUUUUUUUUAAGAGUAGGUCUUACUCUGUUGCCCAAGCUGGAGUAUAGUCGUGUGAUCGUGGCUCACUGCAACCUCUGCCUCCUGGGUUCAAGCAAUUCUCCUGCCUCAGCCUCCUCCAUAGUAGCUGAGAUUACAGACGUGUGCUAACACACCCAGCUCAUUUUUGUGUUUUUUGGUAGAGAUGGGGCUUUCUCUGUGUUGGCCAGGCUGGUCUCAAACUCCUGGCCUCAAGUGAUCUGCCUGUCUUGGCAUCCCAAUGUGUGAGGAUUGCAGGCCUGAGCCACUGCACCCAGCUGUACCUUCUUCUCUAGUAACAAAUUGGAGCACUUCAGCUAUGACCUUUAUUUUUCUAAAGAAAGUUAGGUUAAACAUGAUGAGUAAAUUGGGAGAAUGUUGUCAAUAUUUAGUGCCGGUUGGCCAGAUUCUGUUUUCUCUAGUACUUCAAGUGAUCUGGGAGCAAAUUUUCUCACAGUUAGAAAUAACAAUAUAUGAAGAUCUUAAGAAAAAGCUGACAAUCCUAUGCAGGUACCUUCCUUGAAUGCAAGUAAUGGUGGGUUUGGUGGCUUUCACCACAAGGAGCUGUCUGGGAAAGCUGAAAUGCAGUUUGGAGAUAAAGGGAGAACUUUAUCUAGUAGUGACAUUGAACAUAAUUAACUGAUUUGACAAGGCACAAACAUACCUAUUAGAGUGAAUGCUAACAGCUAGCAAUAGCAGCCCUUCCAGUGCAGACUGUGACUCUCAGCCCUGGCAAGGUGACCUCACAGUGUGAAGCGAAGGGAAAGGGCUGUUUGUGUUGGAGCGGUGCCCCUGCACCUCUGGUCUCCACAUUUCUCAUCAUCCUAGUUGCUGCUUACCCCGCUAGCUUUUGCAGGUGGAGUUGGUGACUGGUGUGGACUGGUCUUUCCUGACUUGGCCAGGGCACAGAAGCUCUCCCUGGCUGACUUGAUCUCACCCCAGCUCUUGCUGGCACUACGGGCUGAGAGUGUAAGUUUAGACUGCCACAGCCUUCCAUGGCCCCUCAGCCUGGGUUGCAGGUCACCUUGCUCUCAAAGGGUGAGUGUUAUGUCUGCUUCUGACUCAACUCAGCUGCUUCCAGAGGCCCAUCCUGAGCACAGGUGGGAACUUCUGGGUCCUGUCCAUACCACACAGGGACUGAGAAUAGCUCCAAAAGCUAAAACUUCACAAUUUUGCACUCCUGCCUCUACCCUCACUCCCCUGCUUAAUCACGCUGUGUGGCAGAGUUUUCCACGGCUGCUUUCCAGACAGUUCGUGGGGCAGUUCCCUCCAGGAAUCCGAAUACGAGGCAGAGUGCAAGCCUCCUUGCCAUUGCCAGUAUCCUCUACCCGGCCCUCCUGCCCCCACAAGUAUCUUCAACCCUUCUAACACCACUCUCCCUCUUCUGCCCACAAACCACUGGGCUGGAGAAUGUGAACGUUUCAUUUCCUCUUCCUGGUGUGGUUUUCACACACUAGAAUGAUCUGAGAGCUUUUCAAAAAUACCAUUGCUCAUGUUUCACAUUCUCAUCCCCCUCCAUCCAUGCAGUUCUGAUUUAACCUCUCUUAGAGGGACCCAGGCAUUGGUAGUUUUAAAACCAGCACUCCAGGUGAUUCCAAUGGGCAGCCAGGGCUGAGCGCCGCUGUUCUAGGACAGUUCUUAAACGUCCCUGCUUAUUAACAUCUUCUGGGAGCUUUAAAAAAUCCCGAUGCCGAAGCUGCACCCCAGGCCAAUUAAAUCAAAAUAUCUAGGCCAGGAAUUGGUAUUUUAAAAGGUUCCCUGGGCUAUUCCAAUGGCAAAUGUGAAAACUAGGGUUCUUCUAAGCCAGUUCUUCUUAAACUUUAAUGCAUUAGUACAUGCAGUCACCUGGGGGCCUGGUUAAAAUGUAGAUUCUGAUUCAGGAGGUCUGUGUUAGAGCUUCAGAUUUUGAAUUUCUAACAAGUGCCCAGGUAAUGACACAGGUGCUGGUCCUUGGACCAUAUCCUUCUUCACAGAGGUUCGUUCAUUUGUCUCAAAACUCCCUUAACUAACAAGAUUUCAGGAAGAGGAUAACUAGUUUAUGGGUAAAUAGAGUUCUUUAAAAAACAUUAUACCCACGAUGCAUGGCAACAGAUAGCUUCCCGGUGGACACUGACUUUCUAUUCCAAAAGUCAGCUACAACUCAUUAUUCUUCAUGUUUUGGAAGCUAGAAUUCUCAAUUUUUUGGGCCCUCUCAUAGCAAGCAUACUACAUGAGAAAGUUCCAUGUAGUGAGAUAAUAGCCGGAAGUGCCUGGAGAAGGCUUCCUUUCCCAAAUAAAAAUCCCAGGUCUUAAUAGAAGGAAAAAUUGUUUGCAUCUUCCUGCUUGGAAUAUGGCUUUGGGACCUGGAAGUAGAGCACCCAUCUGUGACUCUGAGGAAACAGGCAUGAAGAUGAAGGCCUGGACACAGGGCUGCCAAUAAAAUAUGAGACAGCUGGUAAAUUUGAAUUUCAGAUAUACAAUGAAUUUUUUUUUUUUUUUUUUUUUUUUUUGAAAUGGAGUCCAGCUCUGUCUCCCAGGCUGAAGGGCAGUAGCACAAUCUCAGCUUAUUGCAAACUCGGCCUCCCAGGUUCAAGUGAUUCUUCUGCCUCAGCCUUCCGAGGAGCUGGGACUACAGGUACCCACCAUUACGCCUGGCUAAUUUUUGUAUUUUUAGUAGAGACAGGGUUUCACUGUGUAAGCCAGGAUGGUCUCAAUCUCCUGACCUCGUGAUCCAUCCACCUUGGCCUCUCAAAGUGCUGGGAUUACAGGCGUGAGCCACCACGCCCAGCUAACAAUGCAUCAUUUUUUAGUGUAAGUGUUGCAGUCACCCUCCACAUUGUCAUCACCCCCAGAAAUGGAUGAACCCCUUGCUCCAAAUUUGCUUCAAAUAUUGGGAUUAUUGAUGUCAUACCCAAAGAGGAUAUGAAAAGGUUUAUGACUCAAAUAAUGGGACUUUCUGAGGAGCAUAGGGCAGGCUCACAAGCAGGUCUGAAAACAGGCUGAGCGAGUGGGGAGGGCAGGAGGCCUUGGGGUUUUAUGAAAGGGCUGAGGCUGGUGUAGUUUGAGCUUCCAGCUGGCAUGAAAGAAGGGAAUACUUUGAUUUUCUUAUUAUUUUGCCCAGGUGUAGGGCAGAAUGGGGGGGAUACUGAGUCUUGCAAGUUGUCAGCAAAUAUGAAAAACAAAAUCAGACUGUUUAUUACCAUAACUGUGUUACAAAUAUCUUAUGGGACAUGCUUACACUAAAAUUUACUCAUUCUUUAUCUGAAAUUCAGGUUUAACUGGGUGUCCUGACCUGUGCUUUUAUUUGCUAAGUCUGGCAGUUCUACCUAUGAAGUAGAAAAAUAGAAGGAGCCUGGACCCUCCUAGUGUUCUUGAGAUGCUACACUGAUUCUGAGCUGCCCGCUUCCAGACUCAUUAUAUGAGACAAGGCAUUGGUGGUUUUAAAACCAAGCACCCCACAAAUCAGAAAGCUUAUUUAAGUCUUAAGAAACAGGACUUAAGUCUUAUUCCUAAAUGUUACAUUUCUGCUGACUCUUCUGGUAGCAGCUAGUGGGCUAUCCAAUUCCACUUCUCAAGCCCUUAAUUAUACAGAUGAUGCUAAUAUAAAUGAUUGUUGUGGAUGCCAAGGACUGCCGGCAUUCAUAUGCGGCUUUGCUACUUCCUACCUUCCUAAGUUCUUCCCCAACUUAUGCCUCCUCUUCUGUAAAAUGGGCAUGAUAACCCAUAUUUCACAGAGUUGUUAGAAUUAAAUAAGAUUGUGUGUACGAGAUACUUAGUACUCAGUAAGUCUUAGCUAAUAUGUGCUUAUUUAUUUGGAUUAGUUAAAUUGCUUGUAGUAAAAAUGUUAUGGGCUGAAUGUUUGUGCCCCCGUCUCACCCAACCAAAUUCAUUAUGUUGAAACCCUGACCCCUAAUGCGAUGGUUUUUGAGAUGGGGCCCUUGGGAGGUGAUUAGGAUCAGAUGAGGUCCUGAGGGUGGAAUCUUCAUGAUGGGAUUACUGCCCUCAUAAGACGAGAUGACAGAGAGCUUGCUCUACUGCUGGACACACAGCAUUAAGGUGGCCAUCUGCAAGCUGGGAAGAGAGCUGCACCAGAACCGAACUUUGCUGGUGCCUAACCUUGGACUUCUAGCCUCCAGUACCGUGGGAAGUUUCUGUUGUUUAAGCUACAUCGUUUAUGGUAUUGUGCUAAUGGCAGCUCAAGCUGUCUAAUGCAAAGGUAAUCUAUGUCAAUUUUUGCGUAAAUAUCUUAGAUAAGUUAUGAAUAAUAACAUUGUUGAAUUCCCUGUUUUUCAAGAAGGUAUAACUAUCAUUGUUGGGGGAGAGUGGGAGCAGAUUAUGUACCUUAUUUCAAAGAUGGUUGAAAUCUAAGAAAUUGAGAAUAACCACAACCACAGAAUGUAUAUCAUUAUUUCAGCACUUUUUUUAAAGCAACUCUGAAAUUGGGAUGUGACUUCUAAUAGGUGAGAUCUUAGAUUACAUCUGUGGUUUUCAAUCCUAGUUGCAUAUUCAAAUCACCUGGGGAGAUUUUAACAAAUAUUGUUAUCUUGAUCCUACCCUCAGAUGUUCUAUUUAAUUGGCUUGAGGUGGGGCCCAGGAAUGAAUCAGAGGGACCUAAGGAAUAGGUAAUUAAAUUAAUUCAUUAGUUUGUUUGAGACAGAGUCUCACUCUGUCACCCCAGCCUGGAGUGGUGUGAUCUCGCCUCCCAGGUUCAAGUGAUUUUCCUGCCUCAGCUUCCCGAGUAGCUGGGAUUAAAGACACCUGCCACCAUGCCCGGCUAAUUUUUGUAUUUUUAGUAGAGACAGCGUUUUGCCAUGUCGGCCACACUGGUCUCAAACUCCUGACCUCAGGUGAUCCACCCAUGUACACUUCCCAAAGUGCUCUGGGAUUACAGGUGUGAGCCAGUGCACCAAUAGGAAUAGGUAAUUUUAAAGUAAUUUUUUAAACUCUCUGCAGGUGAAGGUAAAUGUAUAGCCAGGGCCAAAAAUAUUAAAUUAGAUAAAAUAUGUACAAAUGUUUACUCUGGAUUGAGGCUUCUUGUGAGGUUUAUUAAAAAGUAGAUCAUUGGGAGAAAGAUAUCCCCUCAAUGCUUAUGACUAACAGCUUUUCAGCAAGCUAUCGCUGAUUAACUCAUCACAUGUGUUAGCUAGCUUCUCUGCUAGUUCACUGAUAGAUAAAGGUUAAAAGCAGUUGUGUCAGUCACCAGAAUAGCUAUGGAUUAAAGCUAAAAAGAGCAGAGGGAAUACAAUGCUAUGCAACAGAGAGCUGGAAUACCAUCAGGGAGCUUGUGGCUUCUCCUCACUUGAUUUCAAUAGGACCAGGUCUCUGGAGCAAAAUACUAGAGGUGCUGAGAAACUGGUGGAAUUCUACACUGUGUAUCUCAUGAGGGAGUGAACCCUUAGCAAAGAGUCGGAGGUUCAAAUAUCUUAAAAGGGGAUUUAAAAAAAAAAUUAUUUUGUGGAGUGGUUGAUUACAGAAAUGACAAUCAGGUGAGUAGAUUUCCGACUAAAGUCAGCAUUGUCUUGUCAUGAAAUUUCAUGUAAUGAAAUUGAGCAUGUUUCUGCUUAGGUACGUAUUUUGCAUCUCACCCUCUAUGUUCUCAUUGAUCAUGAUGAAGUCACCUUUCAGAGACACCAGACACAUACAUGUGUUUGAUGACAGUGGUUACUCUUCACUCUGUUAGACCGUGAAUUGUUCAGAUAUUGUGAAAGUAGAACAUGUGGUUACAUUCAGGUAUCUCCUUUCUCCAGCCCCUGCUACCCCACCCUGAACAGCAAAACCAAGAGUGUAACACUUGAUCUAGUUUGACUAGUUCCUCCAUGCUUUUUAUUUUUCCUUUUUGCUGCAGGCUAAUUUUCAAUCAGCAGGUGCCUCCCCAUAAAGUGGAACUGUUUUGUGUAAGCUGCAUUGAAUUCCUUAGGUUUGUCUGACUCUAAACCAGUUUGGUUCUGACAGUGAGAGAAACAUGGCACUGAUGCUGGUCCUUUCUGCCCAGGUAAACUUGAUCCAGUCUGUUUCCGUGUUGCCUGAAAAGACCAAAUCACUGCAUUAUUUAAAUUCAUGCCCUGAGAUCCUGAAAGCAGAGUCUCAAAACUGCUAGAAAGCCUAACCUUUUAAAAAUGUACAUGCAAGACUACUCAGACCUAAUUAAGUUAGAGCAAGCUCACAAUGGUAAAGCCUCAUUUCAUUCUGCCUUUAAGAAUUUAUUUUUUCUUCCAGUCUUGCCCCUUCUAACCCAGCUUUACAGUUCCAUGUGUUAAGAAGAGGAGAGAUUUCUUUUAUUGAAAUACACUUUUAUUGAAAACUCUUGGUAAUAUGAUGAAACAUCAGCAGUGAAAACAAAGGCAAAAGCAAAUGAGAGACAGAGAGGCCUUCUGAGCUGAAGGGCUGAAACCGCCAUUGCAGAGUAUCGAUAGGAGGAUUGUUGUGGGGAAAGAGGUCUGACCUAACUGACUCCAUCUUCCUUCCAACCUCCAAGCUGUCCUUGUUCUAUUUUGGGCAUAGGCUGAAUUAACUUUGGGAGGAACUUACAGUUUAACUUUGAAACACAAACAUUAACAGUCCUUUCCCAAAACAAACCCCUUCUUGCCUGUGGACUAGACUGCAUUUGAAGGACUAAUAAAUUCACCACAAAAGUAUAAAUUAUGGUUGAAAAGUCAUGCAGCUGGAUGCUACAAAAUUCUGACUCUCCCCAAAUUGCUCCUGGAGAUAACAUCACUAUUAUAAAACCUAAGAUUAGUGCUUGAGAUAUUUCAUAGAAUCUACACCUGAUGGAUCAGCCGGCACCACCCAGGUAGAUAAACUGGCUCAUCAGGUCCUGUGGCCCCCACCCAGGAACCAACUCAGCACAAGACAGCUUCUACUCCCCGUGAUUUCAUCCCCAACCCAGCCAAUUAACACUCCUACCUCACUGCCUCCUACCCACCAAAUUUUCCUUAAAAAACGCUGAUCCCUGAAUGCUCCCGUAGACUGAUUUGAGUAAUAAUGAAACUCCCAUCUCCCAUACUGGCCAGCUCUGCAUGAAUAACUCUCUCCAUUGCAAUUUCCCUGUCUUGAUAAAUUGGCUCUGUCUAGCCAGCAGGACAAGGUUGAACCCACUGAGCAGUUACAAGGCUAUUUUGCCCAUUCCUGAAACAAUGUGUUACCAUGGGACAUACUUGAAUUUAUUUUCUGGAUGUUUGCGAAGCACAGUUAACUCAGGGAGGAGCCAUAUGUCAUUACCCAGAAUCCAUUCUAGAGGUAAUCUAGAGGUUUCUUUUCUUUUUCUUUUUUUUUUUUGAGAUGGAGUCUUGGUCUGUCACCCAGGAUAGAGUACAGAGACACAGUCUUGGCUCACUGCAACCUCUGCCUCCCGGAUUUAAGCAAUUCUCCUUCCUCAGCCUCCUGAGUAGCGGGGAUUACAGGCAUGAACCACCAUGCCUAGCUAAUUUUUGUAUUUUUAGUAGAGACGGGGUUUCAUCAUGUUAGCCAGGCUGGUCUGGAACUCCUGACCUCAGGUGAUCCGCCUGCCUCGGCCUCCCAAAGUGCUGAGAUUACAGGUGUAAGCCACUGGGACUGGCCUCUUUUACUUGCUUUUUUAAAGGCAAGGUCUUGCCCUUUCAUCCAGGCUGGAGUGCAGUGGCGUGACUGUAGCUCACUGCAGCCUACAACUCCUGGACUCAAGGGAAUCUACUUCCUCCUAAGUAGCUGGAACUACAAGCACAUGCCACCACACUUGGUGUUUUUUACAUUUUUUUUUUGAGACAAGGUCUAGUUUUAUGGCCCAGGCCGGUCUCAAACUCCUGGCCUCUAACAAUCCUCCCACCUUGGCCUCCCAAAGUGCUGGGAUUAUAGGCUUGAGCCACUGUACCCAGCCCCUAGAUAGUUUUUCAAAUUUUUGUGAGGGUGUUGUUUUCAAACAGAAAUUCAAACCAAAACAGAAAAUUUAUGACAUGAGGUGGCUAAUCCAUGAAGCGAAGGUAUAGUUUCACAGAGCUAGAAGAAAACUUACUGAGGGUUUAUAAAGCAGGGUACCAAAUAUAUUUACACUAAUUACUGUUCUGAGGGGAGAUUUUAUUAUUGACUGCUUUGAGCUUUUGUUCUAUUUGAAGGAUAACAUUUUUUGUUCAGGUGCUUUCGUUCAAGCUGUUACGUGGGAGAUGGUCUUGCAGAGAGCCUUCUAAAAACAAAUUUCAAUUUCGAGGGAAAUGAAAUAGUAAUAUUAACAUCAGUGCCAUUUUUUUUUUUCUUUGAAACCCUGAAAC
Callithrix jacchus (white-tufted-ear marmoset) is the source of this 15683-nucleotide RNA transcript. It is a transcript of the gene named TXK tyrosine kinase, with no coding region annotated. The record is from RefSeq and is a predicted model, not a curated record. NCBI's taxonomy places the organism in Eukaryota, Metazoa, Chordata, Mammalia, Primates, Cebidae.